CCAACAGGGAUUGCCUUAGUAACGGCGAGUGAAGCGGCAAAAGCUCAAAUUUGAAAUCUGGCGCCUCUGGUGUCCGAGUUGUACUUUGGAGAGGCAUCUUCCGGAGGGGCCCAGCCUAUGUGCCUUGGAACAGGACGUCAUAGAGGGUGAGAAUCCCGUCCUUGGCUGGAUGUUCCCUCCUGUAUGUAGUGUCUUCUACGAGUCGAGUUGUUUGGGAAUGCAGCUCAAAAUGGGUGGUAAAUUUCAUCUAAAGCUAAAUAUUGGCGAGAGACCGAUAGCGCACAAGUAGAGUGAUCGAAAGAUGAAAAGCACUUUGAAAAUAGAGUCAAACAGUACGUGAAAUUGUUGAAAGGGAAGCGCUUGAGAUCAGAGUCAGCCUUUGGCAAACAACUAUCCUUCUGAAUGGUGCACUUGUCAUUGGUUGGGCCAGCAUCGGUUGGGACGGCAGGAUAAAGGCCCAGGGAAUGUGACUCCUUUAUGGAGUGUUAUAGCCCCAGGCAU
RNAcentral lists this ribosomal RNA (501 nucleotides) under Tuber puberulum. Its description in RNAcentral is "eukaryotic LSU rRNA". It matches the Rfam family "Eukaryotic large subunit ribosomal RNA", at positions 65 to 570 of the family's 3401-position model. The record is from RNAcentral. Lineage: Eukaryota; Fungi; Ascomycota; Pezizomycetes; Pezizales; Tuberaceae.